Rosa chinensis is the source of this 1508-nucleotide RNA transcript. RefSeq lists it as uncharacterized. The record is from RefSeq and is a predicted model, not a curated record. NCBI's taxonomy places the organism in Eukaryota, Viridiplantae, Streptophyta, Magnoliopsida, Rosales, Rosaceae. The transcript has 4 exons.
CUAAAGAGUACUAGACUAGUAGAGAGUGGAGACUAGUAGCGUAAAGCGUUCGAUCAGUCUCUGGUCCCGAAAAGAAAAACGUAGGACUUGAAUUCUGAUGAGUUUCUCUCUUGCCUUCUAAUGGAAGUCUUUGGGUUUGAGAAGCGUAUCAAGCACUACACCAGCUAUCAGACAAUACUCUUGGUCAGAGAAGGAGACUUCUCCUUUGCCGUUGCCUUAGCCAGAGCUUUCGGCUCUUCCACCAAGAUGAUCGCUACUUCUCUCGACACCAGAGUAAUUGUAGAGUCAUUGAGGGAGAAGUAUUCAAAGGCUAUGAGCAAUGUGAUGGAAUUGGAGAACAGGGGAUGCAGAGUACUUCAUGAAGUGGAUGUGCACAGAAUGAGCCAACACCCUUUUCUGAGUUGUAUUCGGUUUGAUCGAAUAAUCUACAAUUUUCCUCAUGCCGGUUACUUGCACGGUCAAUCAUCAUCCGAGCACAACCAGUCUCAAAUUUGGUUCCAUCAGGAUUUGGUGAGGGGAUUCUUCAAGAAUGCGCGUGAAAUGCUUACCGAAAUAGGAGAAAUUCAUGUGACACACAAGACAACAUAUCCUUUCAGUCGAUGGGAAAUAGUUAAGUUAGCAGAAGAGGAUGGGUUGUAUUUGCUUCAGGAAGAAAAGUUCUCAAAAUGGGAUUACCCAGGUUAUGAAAAUAAGAGAGGAGCUGGGUUAUGUGAUCAAACUUUUCCUGUUGGAGAAUGUAGCACCUUCAAAUUUGGGAAGCUAUUGUACCAUUCUACCCCUUCCAGUUACUACAUUGACUUGGUUCGGGCUUACGGUCAGGAUUCUCGAAAUAACGGUCCUUACAUGCACCACUGUAAGCUACGAACUUUGAUGAUUAUGUUCUCGUCUAAAUUUUCUAUUGAUUUUACUUCAACGAGUUUGCAUGUGAAUUCUGUGAGCCUAAAUAUUUUUCAGGGUUAAUACACCCAAUGGGCUAAUUGACCAAGCAAUUCCUUCCAGAUGAAAGACUGAACUCUGUUUUCAGGCCAUUCUUUUAUAUAAAGUGAUCUCAAUUGCUAGUGUAGUAUGGACCAGUACCUCUUUUGACAAGAAUUUAAGCCGAUGGUUUUGAAGAGAUGGUCUCAUCCUUAGAUCAUGAACUUGGCAGUAUAUAUCUAGGCAUCUAGUUUGCACUGAUCUUUGUAGGAUGAACUCUCUUUUUGUGUCAACUGUCGGAUGUUGCAACCUGUAAAUGUAAUGUCCAAAUGUAGAGUUUUCCAUCAUCAGCGUCACCACAUUCUUAGCUUCUGUUGGUUAGAUUGAUAGUAUUGCAGUGCUUGCUAUAUAGUUACCGUAACCCUUGAUUAAUUUACUGCCUUUUCUAUCAUAUGUGUAGAAUAUUCUGUUAAUAUUUACUUUCCUUGUAUAUAGAUUACGUCUCUCUGUAUAAUUGUAGGAAAUCGUUUCCUAUUAGGAUUACUCUUGUAUCACUUUGUAAACCUAUUCUUGAGAUUUGAAUAAUAUUGAAG